CCUACGGGCGGCAGCAGUAGGGAAUAUUGCUCAAUGGGGGAAACCCUGAAGCAGCAACGCCGCGUGGAGGAUGAAGGUUUUCGGAUUGUAAACUCCUUUUGUUAGAGAAGAUAAUGACGGUAUCUAACGAAUAAGCACCGACUAACUCCGUGCCAGCAGCCGCGGGAAUACGGAGGGUGCAAGCGUUACUCGGAAUCACUGGGCGUAAAGAGCGCGUAGGCGGGAUAGCAAGUCAGAUGUGAAAUCCUAUGGCUUAACCAUAGAACUGCAUUUGAAACUGUUAUUCUAGAGUAUGGGAGAGGUAGGUGGAAUUCUUGGUGUAGGGGUAAAAUCCGUGGAGAUCAAGAGGAAUACUCAUUGCGAAGGCGACCUGCUAGAACAUAACUGACGCUGAUGCGCGAAAGCGUGGGGAGCAAACAGGAUUAGAUACCCGAGUAGUC
This 440-nucleotide ribosomal RNA is filed under the name uncultured bacterium. RNAcentral describes it as "partial 16S ribosomal RNA". It matches the Rfam family "Bacterial small subunit ribosomal RNA", at positions 338 to 795 of the family's 1533-position model. The record is from RNAcentral.